GGCAUUGUCCGGGUGCGCCGUCGUCGCACACAAGGACCUCACAUUCUUUUCCUAUUUCUGUCAUCUUUUGCCCUACAGAUGACACAUAAUAGAACAUGAUUUUAGACAAUAGUGGAGGCAAAUCACUAAACUUUAUAUGAAUCAAAAUUCACAUGUGAAACUAUCGAUUAGACAAGUGGUCCAAGUCGUUUCUUUGUACACUCGCGAACUAGGUCACCACCAUGAACCAGGCCGCAUGUGCGCACCUACACUGGCACAUGCGCUCCCUUCCAGUCCGUACAAGCCUAAGCCGUUCCUAAACAACCCCAAAAUUAUCCAAACUCAAACAAGCCGACAUAAACUUGUUCAAACUAGAUAGAUCUAAUGGGAAAUCGCAGGUUUGGAGGAGAAAAUUUUGAGAAUCAACGAUGAAGCUUACCUGGUAGGUCGCCUCGACUGUAGAGUACCUCCUCUCGAAGGCCAUGGCGACAGGAGGCGAAUCUAGGCCGGAGACAUGGUCGCGCGAGGCAGAAGAGUUGCUGGCUCAAGGCUGGUCAGGGCUGGAGGUCGUGGUCGCUCGAGGUAGGUUGGAGACUCGGGCGGUGGCGACGCAAGGCAACUCGAGGACGGCACAUACGACGACGCAACCAACUCGGCUAACAAGGCAACGGCAUGUGUCUUUGUUUCGCUGAGGGUAUAUGUGGUGUGAGUGGGAGAGGAUAUGGGAGAUUGGCGGAGCACGGAGUCCUAGCGAAAAAUUUGUUGGCGGGUGGUGCCACACGCGCGUGGUUGGAAAUUAGUGGGUCAGCUACGAAAAACGUGGACACUUUUUACAUCACAAACACUUACCGACACACGAUCUAAUGGUAAAGAAACCUAUGUCGACACAUUGUACGUCCACAAACCAUUAUGCAAUGCCGACAGAUAAAUUGUCAGAAGUAUAGAGUAACAUCAGUAAUCAGUGUGUCGGUAUAGUUUGUGACAAAAAGAAUGUCAGCGAUGCACACUUUUGCUGACAGAUGCAUGUUGCCCUUGUCGUGUCAUGGUGUAGUGCAUAUAUACAACACGAUUUGCAGUUUGUCAACUUUGUAACAAUUUGGUUGCAAUUAAACUAAGCAUCACAUAUUUGGGUAUCUAGAGACAAGAGCUAUCUAGGGCGUGUUUGGUUCCCGCAUUAGGCCGAACCACAUCGAGCUGGGCCAAAAAUAUUAUGGUUAGUUGCAUGUGGGGUGCGCUGGCUCGCAUCAACACGAACCUUAAAACAACACAGAGCCUGCUUUGCUGGAAACUCUCGAAUUGGUAGUUUCUGAAAGUGCUAGUUGUCGACUAGAGGGGAGGGGAGGGGGAGGGUGAAUAGGCAAUUGUUAUGAAAAACUUCAAACAGUAAAUGUGUUCGAAGUAAGGGGAAACGAAUGAGGAUGAGAUAGGGAUAACACUCAAAGAUCUAGGCAGGGCAUGCUGAGUGAUGAAGACAUUCAAACAACUAAAUCGUAGUCAUCAUACAAACAAAAGCAUAUCGAUUAUAAAUUAGAGCACUACAAAGACAAAUGCAGAUUGGAUGAAUGUAUUUGAUGAAAGUCUUCACACACAAGCAAUGACUUCAUAGUGCAUAAUUGUAAGUAAGGAGUGGAAGGAUAGAACCAGCUACUUGAUGAAGACUCACGAUUUGUUGGACCAGUUUCAGUUGCUGUGACAACUGUACGUAGGGAGGAUGAGAUUCAAACUGAGAAAACCUCAUCUUCACCUUGUUCCCGUUGAGCCAAGGUCACUUAGACCUCUCCCAAUCACUCAAGUAAAUCUUCGGGGUAGACUUUGGAAACCCGUACAAAUUCGAUCAUGUGGCGAUCCACAAUGAUUCUUGGAUGUUGUAGACCAUGACGCCUAACCGUCUGAAAGAUCACAGUCUUCAAGUGUAACAAGUCUUCUGUUCACUCAGAAUAGAAUAACUCCCGUAAUGCUCAAACACUCUGGCUCUAGGUGUUUUGUUUAUCCUUGCAAGAUAGCUCCCUCUCAAUGUCUACGAGCUGGGUUGCUCCAAAAUGAAAAUAACUGUAUCUAACUCUGAAUAAUCACCAACUUAUGGUGGACGGGGUUGGCUAUUUAUAGCCAAUCAACAACCCGACACGAUACGACCAAAACUGAUGAGGAAUCAAUAUCACCGUUACACCCACAACCCCUGUCGCUAUACAUAGUGGACCAAUCACUAGAGCUCGUGCAUGCCAGUUGAAUUACCAAGUACUUUCGUUUCAUGGAAAUCCUUCUAAUGUUCAUGGACUUAUGAUGCUGCCUAAAUUAGAUACUUUUGUUUUAUUUAUGAAUGAAGGACCUAGCAUGGACAAUAAGGAUGCCCAUUGGAGCGGGAUUAAGCAUGGAGAAGAAGGUGCACACUGGAGAAAGAACAAUGGAGUUUCUAGUGGUAAUUUUCGCACUUUAAAGCCAUCAUAAGGAGAGUAUAAAGGCUUGGAUGAAAUAUACAAGAUGCCACUUCAUAAAUUUCGUCCAUAGGCUACUAUUGGUGUCGCAUCACCUUAUUUUUGGGCCAGGUCCAAGGGGUCACGAAAUUCCCCUCUAUCCCACCAUAUAUAAAUCCCUCAGGGCGCCAUUUACACUUGGGUUUUGUUUAGAUUACAAGUUUGCCAUAGCUGCAACUUGGGCGUCCUUCGUUUGUGUUCUACGAUGAGACCAACACGUCACAUAACCCCACUUUCAUCAACAAUGCUUUCUUCUUACAUUCAAAAUAUCCUUAUUGCAAUUUCAGUUUCUUGCUUGUUCUUCGUUUGCGUGCAGGAAACAGACCCUUGUGGUUAGAUUGAUUGUGUUCCAGUGUGGUCAAUAACCUCUUGGAUUUGGUUUAGCAAUUGCUAAGGCGCAACUUCCUCACACUUUCGUAGUCGUAUCAUCAAAGUGUACUCCACCAUAUACGAUAGUCACAUCUCAUCGAAAGACGGGGACACCGUCACCUCUACCAAGUGGUAUCACAUUUCGAGGUUGCUCGGUAAGAUUUUACUAGUUUUUCAUAGUUUAGACCGCUGGCAUAUAGCACCAUCUUCAUCGUUGCCAUAUAGCACCACCAAACCGGAUACAUCACUGCUGCCAUAUACCACCACCACACCAGAUACAUCACCGCUGCCAUAUACCACCACCACAUAUCUGCCGUCACACCUAUCAGAGUCCACCUUGAUCACAUAUUCGCCACCAAUCCGUGUUCCACCACCCCUACAUACAUCUGCCACUAGUAUGAGUUCCACCAGAUUCAUAUCCUCCAUCGAUCCUAGUCUGAGUCUAGUGUUUGCUGAUUUGUUGUUAAUUUCCAAAUCACGCCAUACUACGUCUCGUGAUCAAGUUGGACUUGUUGGAAAUAUGCCCUAGAGGCACUAAUAAAGUGGUUAUUAUUAUAUUUCCUAGUACAUGAUAAUUUUCUAUUAUUCAUACUAUAAUUGUAUUGACCGGAAACCGUAAUACAUGUGUGAAUAUAUAGAUCACAAUGUGUCCCUAGUGAGCCUCUAGUUGGCUAGCUCGUUGAUCAAUAGAUGAUCAUGGUUUCCUGAUCAUGGACAUUGGAUGUCAUUGAUAAUGGGAUCACAUCAUUGGGGAAUGAUGUGAUGGACAAGACCCAAUCCUAAGCAUAGCACUAGAUCGUAUUGUUCGUCUGCUAAAGCUUUUCUAAUGUUAAGUAUAAUUUCCUUAGACCAUGAGACUGUGCAACUCCCGGAUACCGCAGGAGUGCUUUGGGUGUAUCAAACGUCACAACGUAACUGGGUUAUUGUAAAGGUGCACUACAAGUAUCUCCGAAAGUGUUUGUUGGGUUGGUACGAAUCGAGACUAGGAUUUGUCACUCCGUGUGAUGGAGAGGUAUCUUUGGGCCCACUCGAUAAUUCAUCAUCGUAAUGAGCUCAAUGUGACUAAGGUGUUAGCCACGGGAUGAUGUGUUAUGGAACGAGUAAAGAGACUUGCCGACAACGAGAUUGAACAAGGUAUAGGGAUACCGACGAUCGAAUCUCGGGCAAGUAUCAUACCGGUAGACAAAGGGAAUUGCAUACAUGAUUGAUUGAAUCCCCGACAUCGUAGUUCAUCUGAUGAGAUCAUCGUGGAACAUGCGGGAAACAACAUGGAUAUCGAGACCCCGUUGUUGGUAAUUGACCGGAGAGGGUACUCGGUCAUGUCUGCAUGGUUCCUGAACCCAUAGGGUCUACACGCUUAAGGUUCGAUGACGUUAGGGUUAUUAUGGGAAUAGUAUACGUGGUUACCUAAGGUUGUUCGGAGUCCUGCAUGAGAUCCCGGAUGUCACGAGGAGUUUCGGAAUAGUCUGGAGGUAAAGAUUAUUAUAUAGGAAGUGGCGUUUUGAUCACCGGAAGAGCUUCGUACAUCGUUGGUAAUGUACCGGGACCACCGGAAGGGUUUCGGGGGUCCAUCGAGAAGGGACACCUGCCUCGAAAGGCUAAGUGGGCCAAGAGUGGAAGGGAACCAACCCCUAGAUGGGCUGGUGCGCCUCCCACCUUAGCCGAAGGCGCAAGAGAGGGCCAAGGGGGGCAAACCCUAGGCGUGGGGGCUGCCUUGGGCACUGAUCGAGUGUAAGUACAGUGGGGUUUUUACGCCCAAACUGCGGGUUGUCGUGUUCUCCACAGGGAUCUAUAAAACCGAAGUAUGCAUUUGAAACACUCAAGAUGACAAGAAUAUAUGGGUUUCAUAGAGCUAAUUACUCACAAUAUUUUCUAACUCAAAUUAUGUGAACCAGAAAACGUUGAAAUAUCGCAGCUAAACAAUAUAGCACAAUAAUAAAAGAACUAGGAGCUCAGGUUAAGGAUGAGAUAUUUUCUAUGGUGAUGAUGUGCGUAUUCAAACAGGCCAAAAUGCUCGACUAAAGAAAAAGAAAACAAACAAAGGUAGGUUCAGAUUUUACUCACUUUCUUUUGGUAUUUUCGUUUUAACACAGAAACAAAAUACUAACACAAAGAAGCAUCGAUGAAUUAAAAAGACAUGAACACAUAUAUAACUAUCUAGCAUUUAACAGAGGAAGGAAACUGAAUUAUGUGACAGGAAAUAGAUGAUUCACAUCACAAACACACACAUACUAUAUAUAUAUCACACGAACUUGAUCUAACACGUGGACUAUAAAAUGGAACAAGUUCACAAGAUUGAACACGAACACAAGCUAGCGGAAUAGUAACUCAGAAAGUUAAAUCGCAAGACGAAAUAUUAUACAAAGCAACUAUGGCAUUAACUGAACAUAUAGUAUGUGAUAUUGUAUUACAAGUACGAAACUGAGAUUUCAAGAACUUAUCAAAUCUGAAUAUUAAAUGUCAUAAACGUCUAAAUUUUACAGAAAUUUUAGAGAGAAUAAGAGAAAUAACAUCAGCAACUAGUUGAAGGAGAGGAAAAGCUUCAGGUUAGGAGCAGCAGUAGAUCGAGGUAGAAGGUGCAGCGGCAGAUCGUGGGAAAUGGAGCAGCAGCAGAGACGAGGGGAAAGGGAGCAGCAACAACUUUAGGGGAGAAGAGUAGCAGGUCAAUAUAGAAGGACCAGCACGGGGGCAAUGGAGAGAGAGGAGCAGCAAGGGGGCAGUGGAGAGAGAGGAGCAACAAGGGGGCAGUGGAGAGAGAGGAGCAACAAGGGGGCAGCGGGUGCAAGGGAAGGGAAGAGCAGCAGCAGCAUGGGGGAUCGGCGUUGGUGAUGGAGGUGUGUGGCGUUGGUGGCUGGGUGGUGGUGCUGGUGUGGUGCGCAAGAGAUGGAUGCUGGUGGCGUUGUUGAUGGAGAUGGCUUGGAUGGAUGGCUGGGUUGCGGCGAUGGAUGGUGGGGCUGGUUGAUGGUGCAGAUGGUGCGGUGGAGUGGGUGAUUGGCGCGUAACCACGCCGGCCUGGCUGGGGCGGCGGCCGGAGGUGGAGAAGGAUGGGUGAGUGAAGAGGAAGAUGGAGGUGCGAGGACCGAAGGGGAUUGAAGGCUGCUCUAGGGAUUUUGACCCCUCACGACUGAUUUCCUCCUUUGUAAUUUGGCCCCUCUACUUUUCUUCUUUCUGCACAAGUUGAUCCUCCGCUUCUUUAGUUUGACCCCUCGGUCUCUUCUUUCCUU
This 6043-nucleotide long non-coding RNA is filed under the name Hordeum vulgare. RNAcentral describes it as "long non-coding RNA (HVUL_LNC019480)". Lineage: Eukaryota; Viridiplantae; Streptophyta; Magnoliopsida; Poales; Poaceae. The record is from RNAcentral.